Molecule: ribosomal RNA, 699 nt
Filed under: uncultured bacterium
Lineage: Bacteria
Description: bacterial SSU rRNA
Rfam family: Bacterial small subunit ribosomal RNA
Source: RNAcentral
GGGAUAACACUUGGAAACAGGUGCUAAUACCGCAUAACCAUAGUUACCGCAUGGUAACUAUGUAAAAGGUGGCUAUGCUACCGCUUUUGGAUGGGCCCGCGACGCAUUAGCUAGUUGGUGGGGUAAAGGCUUACCAAGGCAAUGAUGCGUAGCCGAACUGAGAGGUUGAUCGGCCACAUUGGGACUGAGACACGGCCCAAACUCCUACGGGAGGCAGCAGUAGGGAAUCUUCCACAAUGGGCGAAAGCCUGAUGGAGCAACGCCGCGUGGGUGAAGAAGGUCUUCGGAUCGUAAAACCCUGUUGUUAGAGAAGAAAGUGCGUGAGAGUAACUGUUCACGUUUCGACGGUAUCUAACCAGAGAGCCACGGCUAACUACGUGCCAGCAGCCGCGGUAAUACGUAGGUGGCAAGCGUUAUCCGGAUUUAUUGGGCGUAAAGAGAACGCAGGCGGUCUUUUAAGUCUGAUGUGAAAGCCUUCGGCUUAACCGGAGUAGUGCAUUGGAAACUGGGAGACUUGAGUGCAGAAGAGGAGAGUGGAACUCCAUGUGUAGCGGUGAAAUGCGUAGAUAUAUGGAAGAACACCAGUGGCGAAAGCGGCUCUCUGGUCUGUAACUGACGCUGAGGUUCGAAGGCGUGGGUAGCAAACAGGAUUAGAUACCCUGGUAGUCCACGCCGUAAACGAUGAAUGCUAAGUGUUGG